CCUACGGGAGGCUGCAGUGGGGAAUAUUGCUCAAUGGGGGAAACCCUGAUGCAGCCACGCCGCGUGAAGGAAGACGGUUUUCGGAUUGGUAACUUCUGUUCUUAGUGAAGAAUCAUGACGGUAGCUAAGGAGCAAGCCACGGCUAACUACGUGCCAGCUGCCGCGGUAAUAUGUCGGUGGCAAGCGUUGUCCGGAAUUACUGGGUGUAAUGGGAGUGCAGGCGGGAAGCCAAGUCAGCUGUUAAAACUACGGGCUUAACCUGUAGACUGCAGUUGAAACUGGUUUUCUUGAGUGAAGGAGAGGUUGGCGGAAUUCCGGGUGUAGCGGUGAAAUGCGUAGAUAUUCGGAAGAACACCGGUGGCGAAGGCGGCCAACUGGGCUUUAACUGACGCUGAGGCUCGAAAGUGUGGGGAGCAAACAGGAUUAGAUACCCCUGUAGUC
This 441-nucleotide ribosomal RNA is filed under the name uncultured bacterium. Its description in RNAcentral is "partial 16S ribosomal RNA". It matches the Rfam family "Bacterial small subunit ribosomal RNA", at positions 338 to 795 of the family's 1533-position model. The record is from RNAcentral.